GAGGAAUAUUGCUCAAUGGGGGAAACCCUGAAGCAGCAACGCCGCGUGAGGGAUGAAGGCGCUCUGCGUUGUAAACCUCUGUAGUUGGGGACAAAUGUGGGGUUAUUACCCCAUUGAUGGUACCCAAAAAGUAAGGAUCGGCUAACUACGUGCCAGCAGCCGCGGUAAUACGUAGGAUCCGAGCGUUGUCCGGAUUUACUGGGUGUAAAGGGUGCGCAGGCGGACUGGUAAGUCAGUGGUGAAAUCUCGUCGCUUAACGACGAAACUGCCUUUGAUACUAUCAGUCUUGAGUCCGGUAGAGAUCUGUGGAAUUCCGAGUGUAGCAGUGAAAUGUGUAGAUAUUCGGGAGAACACCAGUGGCGAAGGCAGCAGAUUGGGCCGGUACUGACGCUCAUGCACGAAAGCGUGGGGAUCAAAC
This 418-nucleotide ribosomal RNA is filed under the name uncultured bacterium. RNAcentral describes it as "bacterial SSU rRNA". It matches the Rfam family "Bacterial small subunit ribosomal RNA", at positions 356 to 773 of the family's 1533-position model. The record is from RNAcentral.